CCCGGAGGACCGACAACUUCGGAUGGAGGCGGGGGACCCACCGGUCCACCGAGUCAACGGGGACCUGGGGCCGCACGCGGCUCCUUGGGGUGAAGCCGUCACCCGACGGCCGGGCAGCCUCUCCAGCCCGAACCCGACAGCUCACCCCGCAGGCGUCGACGAGAGGACAU
Molecule: small RNA, 170 nt
Filed under: Mycolicibacterium hassiacum
Lineage: Bacteria; Bacillati; Actinomycetota; Actinomycetes; Mycobacteriales; Mycobacteriaceae
Also listed under: 1 other name
Description: Mycobacterium hassiacum c-di-AMP sequence
Rfam family: c-di-AMP riboswitch aptamer (ydaO/yuaA leader)
About the family: This family represents a conserved RNA structure found upstream of the ydaO and yuaA genes in Bacillus subtilis and related genes in other bacteria. The ydaO/yuaA element is thought to act as a genetic "off" switch for the ydaO and yuaA genes in its native state.
Source: RNAcentral